AACAUUUACAUAAGUCUUCCAGAAGCAAGGAGUAACUACACGCAAUGUUCGCUAAAUUGAUUUUGUUGUUCGCUGUGCUGGCGUUUGCAGCUGCUGCCCCACAGCUAUACUCCGGGUACGGAUACAACAACUACGGAUACAGCGGAUACCCCAGCUACACUGGAUACUCCGGAUAUUCGAAUCCGGUUGCGUACAGUGGCUACGGAUCCUACAACUAUCCGUACAAUUACGGAUACGGUUACUACUAAACUCAGCUCUGCCCUUUUUCUAUAAUCCGCCAAUUUCUUUAAAUUCAUUAAAAUCUAGUCUAAUGCUUAAAAUUGUAUGAUAAUAUGUAUUAAUGUUAACUGUAUUGUAAUGCCGAUUUGAAAAUAAACAACUGCGUUAUAA
Molecule: long non-coding RNA, 390 nt
Organism: Aricia agestis (brown argus)
Lineage: Eukaryota; Metazoa; Arthropoda; Insecta; Lepidoptera; Lycaenidae
Exons: 2
Source: RefSeq, a predicted model, not a curated record